UACGUAGGGGGCAAGCGUUGUCCGGAAUUAUUGGGCGUAAAGCGCGCGCAGGCGGUCAUGUAAGUCUGGUGUUUAAGCCCGGGGCUCAACCCCGGUUCGCAUCGGAAACUGUGUGACUUGAGUGCAGAAGAGGAAAGUGGAAUUCCACGUGUAGCGGUGAAAUGCGUAGAGAUGUGGAGGAACACCAGUGGCGAAGGCGACUUUCUGGACUGUAACUGACGCUGAGGCGCGAAAGCGUGGGGAUCAAACA
This 250-nucleotide ribosomal RNA is filed under the name uncultured bacterium. Its description in RNAcentral is "partial 16S ribosomal RNA". It matches the Rfam family "Bacterial small subunit ribosomal RNA", at positions 524 to 774 of the family's 1533-position model. The record is from RNAcentral.